CCUACGGGAGGCAGCAGUGGGGAAUAUUGCGCAAUGGACGAAAGCCUGACGCAGCGACGCCGCGUGAGGGAUGAAGGUCUUCGGAUCGUAAACCUCUGUCAGCAGGGAAGAACGGUCACUGUGCUAAUCAGCAGUGAAUUGACGGUACCUGCAAAGGAAGCACCGACUAACUCCGUGCCAGCAGCCGCGGUAAUACGGAGGGUGCGAGCGUUAAUCGGAAUUACUGGGCGUAAAGCGCUCGUAGGCGGUAUGUCAAGUCAAGGGGGAAAUCCCCGCGCUCAACGUGGGAACUGCCUUUGAAACUGGCAAACUGGAGUGUGUGAGAGGAUAGUGGAAUUCCAGGUGUAGGAGUGAAAUCCGUAGAUAUCUGGAGGAACAUCAGUGGCGAAGGCGACUAUCUGGCACAUAACUGACGCUGAGGAGCGAAAGCGUGGGUAGCAAACAGGAUUAGAUACCCUAGUAGUC
This 465-nucleotide ribosomal RNA is filed under the name uncultured bacterium. Its description in RNAcentral is "partial 16S ribosomal RNA". It matches the Rfam family "Bacterial small subunit ribosomal RNA", at positions 338 to 795 of the family's 1533-position model. The record is from RNAcentral.